ACUUCAGUUCCUACUUCGCCUAAAUAUACCUAAACACGGCCACUUAAUUGUAUAUACUGAAGCCUUCUCAACUAUCUAAACUAUCCUAAAAAACAUAAACCACCGAAGGACGACGAGAAAAUAAAUAAAUAAACAGCCCAAUAAAUAAAUAUGCGAGUAAAUCACAUAUAUGUUUUAAAUAAAUAAAUAGUUUUAAAUCGAAAUAAAUAAAUAAACACUCCUCACACAUAUUCGCCUAAAUAAAUACGAAACUGAAUAAAUAAAUAAUUUCUCUACCAAAAAAUUGCUAUUUCGCUGACCUAUGUAUUUAAUCCUACUUCUAAAAUUGUCUAUAUCCAAUGCUAGCGAGGAUCUUCAGCCCGCGAGAAUAAACUUUUUCUGGUUUUCUCCUUAAUCGACCUUUUGACACAAAACACUAACGUAAACAAAGACAAAUCUUCCUUUGCAGCUACACAAUCUUUUGGGCGAGACGAGAGACAACUGCAAUUCACGGUUGCAGUCGGUGAGUGAACCAGUCCUUUUCCCUCGCAAUUAAUUUCCGCUUCUUUUUUAAACACGGAGUGCCAACUCCUCUUACUCUUUCGUUUUCCUGGGCUCUCUCGAAUCGGGCAACGAUGCUGAUGCCCUGUCGGCACCUCACGGACCACAACUCGAGAGACCCCGAACCUCUCCUUCGAUUCGAUCCGUGGGCCCCUAGAGUCGGACAACGUGGCUGUAGCCCAUUUGGCUACACCAGGACCACAACUCGAGGUAUUCACUCGUCAAAUCUCUCCGAGGUCUCCACGAGUCGGACAACGUGGCUGCAGCCCAUUUGGCUACACCAGGACCACAACUCUGGAGACCCCUGCUGAACUCUCCUCCUCAACGGCUACUAUGGCUGGGGUCUAUUCCCGGCUCACGGACCAGCUGAGUGCUUACUCUCUCCGGCUCACUCUCAGACAGGGUAUCUUGGACCCCCCGUCUAAAACCGAUGCCUUUCGUUUCAAAUUGGGCGCCAUUUGUUAUGGCGCAACUCGUUUUUAAUUUGGGCGCCAUUUGUUAUGAUCCGCCUUUUUGCCGCCCUGGUCUAUCGUUCCCGGCUAGCUCUCGGGGAAGUCAUGGGUGUUUUCGACCCGAUAGCCAGGGGACGGAUUUAAAAAAAAAAAACCUACUUUCUCGCGUGUAACGGACAGAUCUAAUUUUUCUUACACGCGUCUACGUUGGCACUCUCCUCGGCGGGGUCAGUCGGUGUUUCUUUGAUCAUUGCGAGUCCCUCCC
This 1257-nucleotide long non-coding RNA is filed under the name Drosophila guanche. The record is from RNAcentral. Lineage: Eukaryota; Metazoa; Arthropoda; Insecta; Diptera; Drosophilidae.